This 3258-nucleotide long non-coding RNA is filed under the name Salmo salar (Atlantic salmon). RNAcentral's name for it is "lncRNA (ENSSSAG00000109478.1)". Lineage: Eukaryota; Metazoa; Chordata; Actinopteri; Salmoniformes; Salmonidae. The record is from RNAcentral.
GCUGAGUUGACUGUUCAGAUACUGUAGGUUAUUCUCCAUACAGCUGAGUUGACUGUUCAGCUACUGUAGGUUAUCCUCCAUACGGCUGAGUUGACUGUUCAGCUACUGUAGGUAUUUCUCCAUAUGGCUGAGUUGACUGUUCAACUACUGUAGGUUAUUCUCCAUACGGCUGAGUUGACUGUUCAGCUACAUGCUACUGUCGGUUAUUCUCCCAUAUGGCUGAGUUGACUGUUCAGCUACAUGCUACUGUAGGUUAUUCUCCCAUAUGGCUGAGUUGACUGUUCAGCUACAUGCUACUGUAGGUUAUUCUCCCAUAUGGCUGAGUUGACUGUUCAGCUACAUGCUACUGUAGGUUAUUCUCCCAUACGGCUGAGUUGACUGUUCAGCUACUGUAGGUUAUUCUCCAUAUGUCUGAGUUGACUGUUCAGCUACAUGCUACUGUAGGUUAUUCUCCAUAUGGCUGAGCUGACUGUUCAGCUACUGUAGGUAUUUCUCCAUAUGGCUGAGUUGACUGUUCAGAUACUGUAGGUUAUUCUCCAUAUGGCUGAGUUGACUGUUCAACUACUGUAGGUUAUUCUCCAUAUGGCUGGGUUGACUGUUCAGCUACUGUAGGUUAUUCUCCAUAUGGCUGAGUUGACUGUUCAGCUACAUGCUACUGUAGGUUAUACUCCAUAUGGCUGAGUUGACUGUUCAGCUACAUGCUACUGUAGGUUAUUCUCCAUAUGGCUGAGUUGACUGUUCGGCUACAUGCUACUGUAGGUUACUCUCCCAUACGGCUGAGUUGACUGUUCAGCUACUGUAGGUUAUUCUCCAUAUGGCUGAGUUGACUGUAUAGCCACUGUAGGUUAUUCUCCAUACGGCUGAGUUGACUGUUCAGCUUCUGUAGGUUAUUCUCCCAUAUGGCUGAGUUGACUGUUCAGCUACAUGCUACUGUAGGUUAUUGUCACAUAUGGCUGAGUUGACUGUUCAGCUACAUGCUACUGUAGGUUAUUCUCCAUAUGGAUGAGCUGACUGUUCAGCUACUGUAGUUUACUCUCCCAUAUGGCUGAGUUGACUGUUCAGCUACAUGCUACUGUAGUUUACUCUCCCAUAUGGCUGAGUUGACUGUUCAGCUACAUGCUACUGUAGGUUAUUCUCCAUAUGGCUGAGUUGACUGUUCAACUACUGUAGGUUAUUCUCCAUACGGCUGGGUUGACUGUUCAGCUACUGUAGGUUAUUCUCCAUAUGGCUGAGUUGACUGUUCGGCUACUGUAGAUUAUUCUCCAUAUGGCUGUGUUGACUGUUCAGCUACAUGCUACUGUAGGUUAUUCUCCAAAACGGCUGAGUUGACUGUUCAGCUACUGUAGGUUAUUCUCCAUAUGGUUGAGUUGACUGUUCAGCCACUGUAGGUUAUUCUCCAUAUGGCUGAGUUGACUGUUCAGCUACUGUAGGUUAUUCUCCCAUAUGGCUGAGUUGACUGUUCAGCUACAUCCUACUGUAGGUUAUUCUCCAUAUGGCUGAGUUGACUGUUCAAGUACUGUAGGUUAUUCUCCAUACGGCUGGGUUGACUGUUCAGCUACUGUAGGUUAUUCUCCAUAUGGCUGAGUUGACUGUUCGGCUACUGUAGGUUAUUCUCCAUAUGGCUGAGUUGACUGUUCAGGUACAUGCUACUGUAGGUUAUUCUCCAAAACGGCUGCGUUGACUGUUCAGCUACUGUAGGUUAUUCUCCAUAUGGUUGAGUUGACUGUUCAGCCACUGUAGGUUAUUCUCCAUAUGGCUGAGUUGACUGUUCAGCUACUGUAGGUUAUUCUCCCAUAUGGCUGAGUUGACUGUUCAGCUACAUCCUAGAGUAGGUUAUUCUCCAUAUGGCUGAGUUGACUGUUCAAGUACUGUAGGUUAUUCUCCAUACGGCUGGGUUGACUGUUCAGCUACUGUAGGUUAUUCUCCAUAUGGCUGAGUUGACUGUUCGGCUACUGUAGGUUAUUCUCCAUAUGGCUUAGUUGACUGUUCAGCUACAUGCUACUGUAGGUUAUUCUCCAAAACGGCUGAGUUGACUGUUCAGCUACUGUAGGUUAUUCUCCAUAUGGUUGAGUUGACUGUUCAGCCACUGUAGGUUAUUCUCCAUAUGGCUGAGUUGACUGUUCAGCUACUGUAGGUUAUUCUCCCAUACGGCUGAGUUGACUGUUCAGCUACUGUAGGUUAUUCUCCAUAUGGCUGAGUUGACUGUUCAGAUACUGUAGGUUAUUCUCCAUACGGCUGAGUUGACUGUUCAGCUACUGUAGGUAUUUCUCCAUAUGGCUGAGUUGACUGUUCAACUACUGUAGGUUAUUCUCCAUACGGCUGAGUUGACUGUUCAGCUACAUGCUACUGUCGGUUAUUCUCCCAUAUGGCUGAGUUGACUUUUCAGCUACAUGCUACUGUAGGUUAUUCUCCCAUAUGGCUGAGUUGACUGUUCAGCUACAUGCUACUGUAGGUUAUUGUCCCAUAUGUCUGAGAUGACUGUUCAGCUACAUGCUACUGUAGGUUAUUCUCCAUAUGGCUGAGCUGACUGUUCAGCUACUGUAGGUAUUUCUCCAUAUGGCUGAGUUGACUGUUCAGAUACUGUAGGUUAUUCUCCAUAUGGCUGAGUUGACUGUUCAACUACUGUAGGUUAUUCUCCAUAUGGCUGGGUUGACUGUUCAGCUACUGUAGGUUAUUCUCCAUAUGGCUGAGUUGACUGUUCAGCUACAUGCUACUGUAGGUUAUACACCAUAUGGCUGAGUUGACUGUUCAGCUACAUGCUACUGUAGGUUAUUCUCCAUAUGGCUGAGUUGACUGUUCGGCUACAUGCUACUGUAGGUUACUCUCCCAUACGGCUGAGUUGACUGUUCAGUUACUGUAGGUUAUUCUCCAUAUGGCUGAGUUGACUGUUCAGCCACUGUAGGUUAUUCUCCAUACGGCUGAGUUGACAGUUCAGCUUCUGUAGGUUAUUCUCCCAUAUGGCUGAGUUGACUGUUCAGCUACAUGCUACUGUACGUUAUUCUCCCAUAUGGCUGAGUUGACUGUUCAGCUACAUCCUAAUGUAGGUAUUUCUCCAUAUGGCUGAGUUGACUGUUCAGAUACUGUAGGUUAUUCUCCAUACGGCUGAGUUGACUGUUCAGCUACUGUAGGUUAUUCUCCCAUAUGGCUGAGUUGACUGUUCAGCUACAUGCUACUGUAGGUUAUUCUCCCAUAUGGCUGAGUUGUCUGUUCAGCUACUCUAGGUUAUUGUCCCAUAUGUCUGAGUUGACUGUUCAGCUA